Non-coding RNA from Pelobates cultripes (western spadefoot toad), 548 nucleotides. The record is from the annotation of a GenBank genome assembly. NCBI's taxonomy places the organism in Eukaryota, Metazoa, Chordata, Amphibia, Anura, Pelobatidae.
GCGAACUUGGAGAAGCGCGUGGUUCCGAUGCCACACCAGCCGCAUACAGAGGAAAAAGGGGAUCAGAGCGUGCAGCUAAACAGGCCUCUAUCGGGCGUAGCUUACUCUACAGCAUCAAUCUUCCCUAACAAUAGGCCUACCUAGGCAGAGGGCCACCAAGGGCUUACCCCAGAAGAAUAGUCCACACAGCCGGAAGACCGCCCGUCUCUGGCGGCAGCAGACCCCCCAGGCUUUUCGUUGCUCCCAAGAUGGUAAGGACUCUAUGAGAGAAGUCCGUGAAAUUAAGAUCCCGGCACUCCAAAAGGCCUUGGGCUGGAGGGGGGCCUUCACUCACCCCCAUCGACAUCACAGCUUUUGGGAUCUAGGAAUCCGCACACCAAGUCAAGGGAUCGGAUAAAAGCAAGCUUUCCAGCCUAUGCACCCCUGCCACACUGAUCUACUCAUGCUGCCAUCUUGUCGAGCCAGAAGUCAGACAGCUUCUACCGGACACAUGAUUUAUUUACCUAGCUUUAUGUCUCUUAAACCUGUAAUAUCUCCUUAUAAUUAAU